GUGGUACAGCAAAACUGACUGUAAGAGGACAAGACACAGGCAGUGCUGACCCUGGAAAAGCCACUGGGGACCAUCCAGCUAAACCUGGUCUUCUCAGAGUGAAGAAACCAAGACCAGGGGAAUGAAGCCACCAAAGUUUUCCAGUUCAAGAACACUAACGUGAUUAAUGUCCAAGAUGAAACAAAACCCAAGCUCUCUGUCCUUUUGUGGCCAAGAGUUAUUUGCAGAAUCCUUUGAACACAAAAGGAAUAUGUCCUGAUGCUUACCAUAUGAAUGCCUCAUGUGAAAGAAUAAGUUGGUAAAAGUAAUUCAAGUUACUUGGAAUCUUGAGAAUAUAAUAAAUUACCUGAAAAUGUAAAUGGUUAUAACUUCAGCCUCAGUCACAGCUGGCAAAGCAUGACUUUAAACAAAGGGUUGCUCUGAAGGAUUCCAUAUAAUGAUAUAUGCCAAAUGUAGAGUCCAGAGCCUGUAACACAAGAAAAUGAGAAGACUAAGACACUAAUAAAGAUGUGAAGGACUUUGAUGAUCUCCCACGGGAGUUCUCACCCUCUCUGAGAAGUGGAUGGGUGUGGGAUAGUGAGAUAGUGUGGGAAAUGAGAAGGACUGGAGGGAGAAGGAACUGGGAUUGGUAUGUAAAAUAAGAUUGUUUUCACUUAAAUUUAAAAAUUAAUUUAAAAAUCUAGAAAAAGACUCUAAUGAAGCAAAUAUUUCUAAGUGCUAUUUUUAUGCCAUAAUGUCUUUGUUAUCUUCAGUAAGAUUGCAUCUUUCCACAAAACUUUAUAUAAGCAUGGGGGCUACUAUGGUUACUGCUCCCUCCAUGCUUGGAGUAAAUGUUCAGCUCAAGGAAAUGGGUAAACAUUUGGAUAACAAAAAUGCUAUAGAGUAUCAGCAAAGGGAGAGCCUUCAAUGGACAAGCAGUAGUAUCUGCAAUUAGAGCAGAGGAAUAAUCUAGACAAUGAUUUGACCUAGUACUGGAAAUGAAUAAACACUAUUGAAAAUAAACAAGGUAAUUCUGAAAGUAAUGUGUUUCCAUUUCAAUUGAUGCACUCCUCACUAAUAAUGAUAAUAUUGUCAAAAGAUUAUUUUACAAAGCAACAGC
Molecule: long non-coding RNA, 1099 nt
Organism: Mesocricetus auratus (golden hamster)
Lineage: Eukaryota; Metazoa; Chordata; Mammalia; Rodentia; Cricetidae
Exons: 3
Source: RefSeq, a predicted model, not a curated record